UACGGAGGGUGCAAGCGUUGCUCGGAAUUAUUGGGCGUAAAGGGUAGGUAGGUGGUCUCAUUUGUCUGGGGUGAAAGCCUUGAGCUUAACUCAAGCAGUGCCCCAGAAACGGUGAGACUAGAGUCCUGGAGAGGGUCGUGGAAUUCCCGGUGUAGCGGUGAAAUGCGUAGAGAUCGGGAGGAACACCAGAGGCGAAGGCGGCGACCUGGACAGGUACUGACGCUGAGGCACGAAGGUCAGGGGAGCAAACGGG
RNAcentral lists this ribosomal RNA (253 nucleotides) under uncultured bacterium. RNAcentral's name for it is "partial 16S ribosomal RNA". It matches the Rfam family "Bacterial small subunit ribosomal RNA", at positions 524 to 776 of the family's 1533-position model. The record is from RNAcentral.